Molecule: ribosomal RNA, 274 nt
Filed under: uncultured bacterium
Lineage: Bacteria
Description: partial 16S ribosomal RNA
Rfam family: Bacterial small subunit ribosomal RNA
Source: RNAcentral
AUACGGAGGGGGCUAGCGUUGUUCGGAAUUACUGGGCGUAAAGCGCGCGUAGGCGGUCCGCGUAGUCAGGCGUGAAAGCCCCGGGCUCAACCUGGGAACUGCGUUUGAUACUGGCGGGCUUGAGUCCGGGAGAGGGUAGUGGAAUUCCCAGUGUAGAGGUGAAAUUCGUAGAUAUUGGGAAGAACACCAGUGGCGAAGGCGGCUACCUGGACCGGUACUGACGCUGAGGUGCGAAAGCGUGGGGAGCAAACAGGAUUAGAAACCCCAGUAGUCC